AGUGAACGCUGGCGGUAGACCUAACACAUGCGAGUCGAACGGCAGCACAGUAAGAGCUUGCUCUUACGGGUGGCGAGUGGCGGACGGGUGAGGAAUACAUCGGAAUCUACUUUUUCGUGGGGGAUAACGUAGGGAAACUUACGCUAAUACCGCAUACGACCUACGGGUGAAAGCAGGGGAUCUUCGGACCUUGCGCGAUUGAAUGAGCCGAUGUCGGAUUAGCUAGUUGGCGGGGUAAAGGCCCACCAAGGCGACGAUCCGUAGCUGGUCUGAGAGGAUGAUCAGCCACACUGGAACUGAGACACGGUCCAGACUCCUACGGGAGGCAGCAGUGGGGAAUAUUGGACAAUGGGCGCAAGCCUGAUCCAGCCAUACCGCGUGGGUGAAGAAGGCCUUCGGGUUGUAAAGCCCUUUUGUUGGGAAAGAAAAGCAGCAGGUUAAUACCCCGCUGUUCUGACGGUACCCAAAGAAUAAGCACCGGCUAACCUCGUG
Molecule: ribosomal RNA, 492 nt
Filed under: uncultured bacterium
Lineage: Bacteria
Description: partial 16S ribosomal RNA
Rfam family: Bacterial small subunit ribosomal RNA
Source: RNAcentral